RNAcentral lists this RNase P RNA (232 nucleotides) under Candidatus Pelagibacteraceae bacterium. RNAcentral describes it as "partial RNase P RNA component class A". It matches the Rfam family "Bacterial RNase P class A", at positions 1 to 240 of the family's 367-position model. Rfam says of the family: Ribonuclease P (RNase P) is a ubiquitous endoribonuclease, found in archaea, bacteria and eukarya as well as chloroplasts and mitochondria. Its best characterised activity is the generation of mature 5'-ends of tRNAs by cleaving the 5'-leader elements of precursor-tRNAs. Lineage: Bacteria; Pseudomonadati; Pseudomonadota; Alphaproteobacteria; Candidatus Pelagibacterales; Candidatus Pelagibacteraceae. The record is from RNAcentral.
CCAGAUAAUUGGAUGACUGCUUUACUUGUAAAGAGGAAAGUCCGGGCUCCACAAGACAAUGGUGCCGGGUAAUACCCGGCGGGGGCGACCCCAGGGAAAGUGCCGCAGAAAAUAAACCGCCUUAAUUGAAAUUUAUAAGGUAAGGGUGAAAAGGUGAGGUAAGAGCUCACCGCUUUUUUGGUAACAAAAAAGGCAUGGUAAACCCCGCCAGGAGCAAGAUCAAAUAGAGUUA